UUGAGUUGUCGCUGAGUGCUCAGUCGAGAUGCAAAAUACGUUAAUUCAGUUUUCCAUAACUCCUAAAUACUCGAAAUGAAAGGCUAAUAUAACAGUAACAAUGGUCACAGUUAGCGAUUUUCUUCUGAUUUGGGCAACCCUCUGUCUUCCUGGUAAGUACACCAGUUGACCUCAUACAACUAACGCAGCUUGACAAUAUCACCAAUGUAGACUAUCAAAUCUUUGUGAUUAGAAGUUAACCAACGCGAUACUAACUAUUGGUUUAUCUUUCUAUAGAGUACGCACAGGGAAGGAACGUUAUUGCGUGGCAGAUGCCAAACAUGACUGUUACCAAGGGCGCAAAUGCAAGCAUAACCUGUUCUGUUUAUGCUCCAGAAAUGUACAACACGACUGUAUAUGUAAAAUGGGAAAAACAGAACAAGUCCUAUUUAGCCGAGGAGAAAAUAUAUAGUCCCGAGUCAAAUAAUUCAUUUGUUUUACAUCUUUACUCAUUACAACUGAAUGACAGUGGGUGGUAUAGGUGUAAUGUGCGCUUCCAUAUCCCAAAGCUCUAUAUAGAAUCUGCAAACGGAACCUAUCUCACAGUGGUUGGUAAGACAAAAAUACAAUUUACCAUAAUUACUUACUGUAUGAACAUAUUUGAUACUUUUGCUGCAGCACUUGAAAUGUUUAUUGUAGGCUAUAUGCAUAGAUCAGGCAUAUUUGCUUAUUAGGUCUAUUUGCUGUAUUGUAAACACCCAUGUUCUUGACCUUCCAUGGGUUUUAUCGGAUGAAGCUGAGGAAGCUGCAGAACCUGAGAUACUUGAGAUAUUGCCAAUGAAUACAGGCCUAUGGCUUUCAGUCGGUGGUGUACUCGUUGUUCUGCUCAUCGGAGGAAUUGCCAUGGUCUUCAGAAGAUUUAAAAGAGACGAGCAGCACAGAGAGCAAAUAACAGAAAAUAUCCCACAAGUUGUCCAUCUAGAAUCAGCAACUCAGGACACAGAGGAAAUUACAUAUGCUUCGAUAAACAAGCAACAGCUUAGCUGCAGAAAAAAUCAACAGAAAAUUCCAGAGCAAGAAAAGAUGACAAACAGAACACACAGCCCAGAUGCCACUGUUGAGGAGUCGGUGCUCUAUUCUCCUAUAAGGACAAAACAAAACAGGUAGACUAGAUGAAACGUAAAUGCAUGGACAUGAAGUGAAAGUCUAGUAGCUACACUAGUAGACACUAGUCUAGUAGACACUUUUUCUAGAUGUAAAAGUGUGAGCACAUCUGCCCAACAGACAGACAUUACUGUGGGAGGCUGGGAGCUGUGAGUGGUAGGUGGGCACCAGACUGCUGCAUGCAAAGGUGCCCAUCUUCCAAAAACCCACGCGUGUGACAAGUGCCAAACCACAAGCGAGUUGUUGCAUUCGUCAAAGAAAUACAUAUGAGUGAUUGAUUACCUUAUACAACCUUAUGUGUGUAGUCUGCAAGUCUUUUGACUUAACUUUUGCCCAUCAUGAACAACUUUGUUUUUGUUACUUCUCUGUUUUUUAAUAUCUUAAAUUAUGAGUAUUACAGGGUGUAAACUUGUGUUGUACAUCACAGCAAUAGCAUAAAGAGGUGUGAUUUUAUUAAAAAAAAAAAAAAAAAAAGAAACGUCAGUGGCGCAUGGAUGUACUGGGAGUUUCCAGUUGUCUGAAAGGAUACCUGAAACUGUCGCUGAUAACUGUCAUCUGCCAUCAGAGGGUUCCAUCAGACUGUUGACUCAUGACUGAUUUCACAUGUCUUAA
Molecule: long non-coding RNA, 1755 nt
Organism: Sardina pilchardus (European sardine)
Lineage: Eukaryota; Metazoa; Chordata; Actinopteri; Clupeiformes; Clupeidae
Exons: 4
Source: RefSeq, a predicted model, not a curated record